CCGGUAAACGGCGGCCGUAACUAUAACGGUCCUAAGGUAGCGAAAUUCCUUGUCGGGUAAGUUCCGACCUGCACGAAUGGCGUAAUGAUGGCCAGGCUGUCUCCACCCGAGACUCAGUGAAAUUGAACUCGCUGUGAAGAUGCAGUGUACCCGCGGCAAGACGGAAAGACCCCGUGAACCUUUACUAUAGCUUGACACUGAACAUUGAGCCUUGAUGUGUAGGAUAGGUGGGAGGCUUUGAAGUGUGGACGCCAGUCUGCAUGGAGCCGACCUUGAAAUACCACCCUUUAAUGUUUGAUGUUCUAACGUUGGCCCCUGAUCGGGGUUGCGGACAGUGUCUGGUGGGUAGUUUGACUGGGGCGGUCUCCUCCUAAAGAGUAACGGAGGAGCACGAAGGUUGGCUAAUCCUGGUCGGACAUCAGGAGGUUAGUGCAAUGGCAUAAGCCAGCUUGACUGCGAGCGUGACGGCGCGAGCAGGUGCGAAAGCAGGUCAUAGUGAUCCGGUGGUUCUGAAUGGAAGGGCCAUCGCUCAACGGAUAAAAGGUACUCCGGGGAUAACAGGCUGAUACCGCCCAAGAGUUCAUAUCGACGGCGGUGUUUGGCACCUCGAUGUCGGCUCAUCACAUCCUGGGGCUGAAGUAGGUCCCAAGGGUAUGGCUGUUCGCCAUUUAAAGUGGUACGCGAGCUGGGUUUAGAACGUCGUGAGACAGUUCGGUCCCUAUCUGCCGUGGGCGCUGGAGAACUGAGGGGGGCUGCUCCUAGUACGAGAGGACCGGAGUGGACGCAUCACUGGUGUUCGGGUUGUCAUGCCAAUGGCACUGCCCGGUAGCUAAAUGCGGAAGAGAUAAGUGCUGAAAGCAUCUAAGCACGAAACUUGCCCCGAGAUGAGUUCUCCCUGACUCCCUGAGAGUCCUGAAGGAACGUUGAAGACGACGACGUUGAUAGGCCGGGUGUGUAAGCGCAGCGAUGCGUUGAGCUAACCGGUACUAAUGAACCGUGAGG
RNAcentral lists this ribosomal RNA (1002 nucleotides) under Escherichia coli. Its description in RNAcentral is "partial 23S ribosomal RNA". It matches the Rfam family "Bacterial large subunit ribosomal RNA", at positions 1920 to 2916 of the family's 2925-position model. Lineage: Bacteria; Pseudomonadati; Pseudomonadota; Gammaproteobacteria; Enterobacterales; Enterobacteriaceae. The record is from RNAcentral.